AUGAACGCUAGCUACAGGCUUAACACAUGCAAGUCGAGGGGCAGCAUUAUCGAAGCUUGCUUUGAUAGAUGGCGACCGGCGCACGGGUGAGUAACGCGUAUCCAACCUUCCCCAUAGUCAGGAAUAGCCCGGCGAAAGUCGAAUUAAUGCCUGAUGUUUUCCACGGACGGUAUCUGAUGUGGAACAAAGAUUGAUCGCUAUGGGAUGGGGGAUGCGUCUGAUUAGCUUGUUGGCGGGGUAACGGCCCACCAAGGCAACGAUCAGUAGGGGUUCUGAGAGGAAGGUCCCCCACAUUGGAACUGAGACACGGUCCAAACUCCUACGGGAGGCAGCAGUGAGGAAUAUUGGUCAAUGGGCGAGAGCCUGAACCAGCCAAGUAGCGUGCAGGACGACGGCCCUAUGGGUUGUAAACUGCUUUUAUACGGGAAUAAAGUGAUGCCUGCGGGCGUUAUUGCAUGUACCGUACGAAUAAGGACCGGCUAAUUCCGUG
RNAcentral lists this ribosomal RNA (490 nucleotides) under uncultured bacterium. Its description in RNAcentral is "bacterial SSU rRNA". It matches the Rfam family "Bacterial small subunit ribosomal RNA", at positions 29 to 507 of the family's 1533-position model. The record is from RNAcentral.